This 700-nucleotide ribosomal RNA is filed under the name uncultured bacterium. Its description in RNAcentral is "bacterial SSU rRNA". It matches the Rfam family "Bacterial small subunit ribosomal RNA", at positions 94 to 828 of the family's 1533-position model. The record is from RNAcentral.
AGUGGCGGACGGGUGAGUAACGCGUAAGAAUCUAACUUCAGGACGGGGACAACAGUGGGAAACGACUGCUAAUACCCGAUGUGCCGCAAGGUGAAACCUAAUUGGCCUGGAGAAGAGCUUGUGUCUGAUUAGCUAGUUGGUGGGGUAAAGGCCUACCAAGGCGACGAUCAGUAGCUGGUCUGAGAGGAUGAGCAGCCACACUGGGACUGUGACACGGCCCAGACUCCUACGGGAGGCAGCAGUGGGGAAUUUUCCGCAAUGGGCGAAAGCCUGACGGAGCAACGCCGCGUGAGGGAGGAAGGUCUUUGGAUUGUAAACCUCUUUUCUCAAGGAAGAAGUUCUGACGGUACUUGAGGAAUCAGCCUCGGCUAACUCCGUGCCAGCAGCCGCGGUAAUACGGGGGAGGCAAGCGUUAUCCGGAAUUAUUGGGCGUAAAGCGUCCGCAGGUGGUCAGCCAAGUCUGCCGUCAAAUCAGGUUGCUUAACGACCUAAAGGCGGUGGAAACUGGCAGACUAGAGAGCAGUAGGGGUAGCAGGAAUUCCCAGUGUAGCGGUGAAAUGCGUAGAGAUUGGGAAGAACAUCGGUGGCGAAAGCGUGCUACUGGGCUGUAUCUGACACUCAGGGACGAAAGCUAGGGGAGCGAAAGGGAUUAGAUACCCCUGUAGUCCUAGCCGUAAACGAUGGAUACUAGGCGUGGCUU